CCAGAAAGGAAGACUUUGUACUGCACUGUCUCCACGGCAACGUGAGGCGCCAUCAUGGGAGACUCCAAGAGGCCUGUGUCAAACAACCAGGCUUAAAGCGUGUUGAUUGGAUUUCAGUCGGGUAGGAUGUGUUGAUUUCAAGAUUACGAAUGGAGAUGGCUUCCCUGCGGCCUUUAACCUUCAGGAUCCCAUCGUCUCCCAUCGAUGCGGUCAAAGACAUUGGGUCCAUGGCCACAGGCAACCUACAUGUAUGUGAGAAGCUCCAACAGAAAGGGGAACUGAUGAAAGCCAAAACCCUGAUCCACAUGUUCCCCGGGAACGCUAUUCUGAGGAACAGAGGAUGAACAAGACCUCCCUGCCUUCAACUAUUUCAAGCACUACUCUAGUUUAGUGCCUCGUGUCUGCGAGAAAGUGAAAGACAUCUUCAGACGACCAGGCCCGUUGUCGUUUGAAGUGUUGGAAAUGUCUGCUGAGGUAUAAAUACUCACCCCAUCCUCAUAUGGCGAGGUCAACCACCCAAGCUCUCCUCCUGCUGCAUUCAUAUCCAGUAAGACUUCUACAAGGGAACACAAAAAAUAAUUUUGUAACGAGAUCGACAUGAUGUAUUCAUUAUUUGAUUGUAUCGCUUAAUUAUGAUUGUAUAAUCACAAUGAAAUAUAAUUAAUUUAUAGAUGCCAACAGCUACCGACCCUUGUUUCAUUUUCAUAAUUGUGUGUUUUAAUAUCAACUAUUGAACUGAUGUGGAUUGCCAAUCACAUCUUGCAUCUUGUUAGGACAGCAAAUGAAUGAAUGUGUGAAAAAAGCCAUCCCACCUAGGACUGUGCCGUGCCAACAUCUUGAUGGGGCACAAGCCUUUCCAUGACAGUUUAAUCAAGCAUGUCGGUUUUCAUUCAUCACUUCAUUAACCGUGUCCUCCAAGUUCUGGCUACAGGACCAAUAAUGGUACACACGCUAGGGGUUUUACAAUUGCAUGACAAUCAAAUUCCUCAGCGUUGUAAUUUGCAAUAAACCUUAAAGUCCAAGGUUGACCACGUUUUUGCCCCAUACGUUUUUGCCCCCUACACCACGAGUAACUCACAGUAUUCUUAAACAAUGUCGUCUGGCCUCUGUGAGGGCAGAAAAGUUUCUGGAAAAGUUUCUACUUCGGAAUUCCUUUUUUAUUGAAGUCCAUAUAAUCGCUGAGGAGAAGGACUGAGUCAUUUUACUGUUAAGGUGCAGUCACUAUGGUGGCUUAUGAUCGGCUGUGAUUUUCUUACGUCUAUCCCGAAAGAAAAAAUAACUCAAAGUUGAUCGGACAUUUGACACUUCAUUAAAUCAGAGAAAAAUGAUUGGGAACAAAAUUAAACGAUGAAGACUACGGUAAAGUUAAAACCCUGUCCAGAGACAUGCGGGACACGGGAGACCCGGUAUGACUUUAAAACCCAUUAAUAUGUGAAAGUAGCUCUACUUACGU
Gadus macrocephalus (Pacific cod) is the source of this 1453-nucleotide long non-coding RNA. RefSeq lists it as uncharacterized. The transcript has 3 exons. Lineage: Eukaryota; Metazoa; Chordata; Actinopteri; Gadiformes; Gadidae. The record is from RefSeq and is a predicted model, not a curated record.